GUUGAGGCAUGGAUCAUUGCAUCACGGAGUUCAAAUCGUUGGUUGUUUCUACCUUAAUUAGUGGUUAUUUUCAACAAGAGAUUCGUUGCUUGAACAAACGAGUCCUGAUAUUCAAAAAGCAGCCAUGAAUUAAUAUCUAUACUAUGUGCAAGAACAUAACACCUUUUCGGAUGGUCGGAUUACAUUAUCUCCCGACUAAAAUAUUUCUGUUAGAGUUUGUUCCCAAAAUUCUAACUAAAUUGUUCUGCCGUUCGAAGAACGAUCAUUUCCAUGGAAAAUAAUUUAAAAAAUACGAGAAAGGCAAAACAAGAAAGAUAUAGGAAAAUCUGCAACAGUUCUA
Armigeres subalbatus is the source of this 340-nucleotide long non-coding RNA. RefSeq lists it as uncharacterized. The record is from RefSeq and is a predicted model, not a curated record. The transcript has 3 exons. NCBI's taxonomy places the organism in Eukaryota, Metazoa, Arthropoda, Insecta, Diptera, Culicidae.